GGGCGGUUCGCAUAGCGGCAAUUGCAUCUGGCUGUAGACCAGACGUCCUUACGGACUACGGGGGUUCGAGUCCCUCACCGCCCA
Molecule: transfer RNA, 84 nt
Filed under: Candidatus Sungbacteria bacterium RIFCSPHIGHO2_01_FULL_47_32
Lineage: Bacteria; Candidatus Sungiibacteriota
Also listed under: 3 other names
Description: tRNA-Tyr
Rfam family: tRNA
About the family: Transfer RNA (tRNA) molecules are approximately 80 nucleotides in length. Their secondary structure includes four short double-helical elements and three loops (D, anti-codon, and T loops).
Source: RNAcentral